CUGAAAGUGAUAAAACUCCAAACAAACAUUUCUAUUUCCAAAUUAUUAUAAAAUUAUAAAAAUACAGAUAUUUUCAACAACAUAAUCUUCAUUUCAUCUUUUUUUUCUUUGUCUUUUUUUUAAAUAACCAACAAUAUGAACUAUUAUAUAAUAGAAUGAAAUUCAAAACAGUGUGGCUGUGGCCAUUGAUUGACACAUUAAAUUCAUCCAUUGUCUGGGACAAUUUAGGUAAACGUUUGUAUGUAACGACCACUGCUCACUAUGUACUUUUUAAAGACACUUAAACUAUGGGGUCACCAAAGGUUCACAACACCUUAAUAAAGUAAUUCGAAAAAUUAAUCAGAAAUAACACGAUGUUUUGAUUUAUACUAAUUAUAUAAAUCAAAACAUAAAGGUUAUUCCUGAUUAAUUUUUCGAAUUAUUUUAUAAUUAAAGGCGUUAAGAAACCUUUGGUGACCCCUCAGUUUAAAUGUCUAUCGUAGGUACGUAGUGAACAGUGGUCGUUACAGACAAACGUUCACGUAAAUUGUCCCAGUCAAUGGAUGAAUUUAAUGUGUCAAUCAAUGGCCACAGCAACACUGUUUUGAGUUUCAUUCUAUACAAAUUAAAAGAUUAACAAAAUAAUUUUGAAGGUCAAGACAAAAAUUAUUGAUAGUACCUCUCAGUAAGUUUAACAAAACAAAGAUUAAUGAGGUGGUUUCCACCAAGACACUCAAAACAAUAUUCCUUUCUCAUUAGUGCAACCAACAUGUAGUCAUUAUUUAACUUAAUAAUCAAUAUUAUGUCAUCUUUUUAUUUCAAAUUACACAAAAAUUCUUAUUAGUAAAUUUACUUGCAAGUCAUGAAAUUUUAGAAUGCCUUAUGAAAAAUUUAACCUUUUUUGCCAUUUGUGUGUUUUGAGAAUGAAUGCAAAAUUGUGAAUAAAAAUGAGUAAAUUGGAAGGAAUCAUGUUCAAUUAAUAACUAGAACUAUAAUACAAAUCACAUUCAAUUAGUAGAUAGUCUUGAUAUGUAUGUCAAUAUAUAGCACAAUUCAAUUGCAUAUUUAUCAUUCAAAGUUUAUUUCAUAAUGGAUAACUCUGAAACUUUAUCAUGCACAACAUGCCAUCAUCACAUUAAAUAACUUAGAAUGACAAAAAAAAAACCAUUUUUGUCCCAUUUUCAAAAGUUCUUACACUAUAUUUUUCUUCUCAUGCAUUUCGUUUUCAUAGAUAAAUAAUUAAAAUUCUAAAAAAAAAUUAUAAGAUGUAAGUGAUAUCAAAUGAUGAUUCCAUGAAAUUUUAUAAUCAUUCAUGGUCCCUCCAUAAUCAUUUUAUUCCAUUAAAGGAGUAAGUUCGGUAUGGGCCAUAUUUGGUCCCGAUUAUAAAAUUGAAUGGUACACGAUAAAAUAUGUUUUAAGUUGUCUUUAAGACUAUAUGAGAAAGUAAAAUAUAACUAAUUGUGUCAAAGUUUUAUUCUAAAGCGUUGAUUUUUACAUCCAUUAAAGGUCAAAAUUUUUGCAAAUUAAGGACCAGGAAACAUAUAGUGCAGGCGUCGACAAACUAAAUAUUCAAAUUAUACAUGCAAAAUGUCAUUACAAACAUUGUGUUCAAAGAUCUUUUUUGUCGACGUAUGCGCUCUAAUGUUCCCGUCCAAUAACCAAUGCAAAAUUUACCAAUUUUCAUUGAUUUUUCAUGGAAAAUAAAAAUAACUACUGUUUGUGACGUCAUCAGUAGAACACAGGAACGUAAAUUUUCCAGAAAAAGGCUCAUUUCCUAUCUAGUCAAUGUAUAACCUAUAAUUCAUUGUGAUAUUGGUCAAUAAAUCCUAAUUUGAAAUUUUAGGUACAAAACAGGGCCAUUUUAGGGUCUUAUCAAACCUACUCCUUUAUUCCGCGAUUGGAUAUUAUGUGCUAUAGAUCCUUCAUGGUUUUACAACAAAAUAACAUGCAUACCUCACACAGGAAAAAAUAAUUAAGAAUACAAAUUUGUUGUUUUUUCUAUUGUAUAGUUUUGAUAUCCUACCAUGCUUAACUAAAAUUGUGAUGAUUUUUUUUUAAAACAUCACAUUCUAUACAUGUAUGCAUACAUAUGUCAUGGAUUUGUUCAUAUUAUUUUAUACAGAGAUGACAGAAAAUCCUUUUUAAAAAUGAUAUCCCAUAAAAUAGGUCAAUGGUAUUUGGUUCACUUGAGUUGAUUAAAACACUCAAUAUGAGCUAGCACAAUUCAUUGAGACCAAUAUAACAUAAAACUUUAUAUAUUGUGUAUAUAGAUUGGGUUCCAGCCCAAACUUUCAAAUACUGGAUCAACCAGAAAAUAUAAAUAAAUAAGAUUUUCUUUCUAGAAAAAAAACUCUUAAAAGAAAUAAUUAAUUUAAUUCCUCAUAGUUAAGAAAUAAUGAGCAAUGUUCCUCUUUUCAACAGUUCAAGUUUAUAUAUUCCAUUUGAACUCUAUUUCUGAUUUUUGAAAGUUAAAUUAUUCAAAAGGAUGUGAAAAAAUAGACAUUUGACUACAUAUCAGUUUUAAAUUUCCUUUUGAAUCUUAAAAAUGAUUAAUAAAAAAUUUCCCCUAUUAAAAUACCUGUCUAUUUAGCAGAAUGUUCAAG
Molecule: long non-coding RNA, 2582 nt
Filed under: Mytilus galloprovincialis (Mediterranean mussel)
Lineage: Eukaryota; Metazoa; Mollusca; Bivalvia; Mytilida; Mytilidae
Source: RNAcentral